This 689-nucleotide unclassified non-coding RNA is filed under the name Leishmania donovani. Its description in RNAcentral is "gene:unknown". The record is from RNAcentral. Lineage: Eukaryota; Euglenozoa; Kinetoplastea; Trypanosomatida; Trypanosomatidae.
CGUUCCUGUGUCUGACUCUGCGGAAGCAGGCGCUUGCUUCUCCAGUUUCGAUUUGUCUAUUCUCACAUGUGACAAGGGCCUGUCUGAGGCUGCUGAGCUGGCCAAAAACCACCCUCGUCCAGCCGGCAUACUCCAGUGAGCAACUCCCUCUCUCUGUGCCCAUCACCGUCACUACUCUUCGCUUCUAUCAGCUGCUGCUGGGCGGUUUUUCGCGAAUGCGCCGGCCAUUGAGGAAGAGGGAGGAUGAGGUGAUGACGGUGGGCGACCGCUCCACAACGCAUAGAAGCCUCGUUUGCUUUCCAAGCACCACCGCACGUACGUACAACAGCGGCAUACAGGCACGUCUCGUUUUCUCCAACCUGUGCUGACUGCAGUGAUUAAACUAGACACACGCGCGGCAACCUCCACGCGCCGGUCCGUGCUCGACACACCAUCAACCCCUUUCCUGCUGGCGCUGCUCUCUCUCUGUCUGUCGCCCACAAGGACCAUCACAUCCGCGAUUAGGAUGGGAGAGACGACCACCACGAGUCACAGCCUACGCCACUUCGGCAUCUGUUCCUCGACUCGUGCUCUACCUCCUCCACCUCUCAAGUUCUGCUCUGCCACCUUCCUUCCCCUCCCUCCUCACCUCGCGCACCGCACCCCACGAGCUCGUGCCGGCGUGCUCACCUUCCACGUUACUCUGUCAG